RNAcentral lists this long non-coding RNA (219 nucleotides) under Nicotiana benthamiana. Its description in RNAcentral is "long non-coding RNA (NBEN_LNC018242)". The record is from RNAcentral. Lineage: Eukaryota; Viridiplantae; Streptophyta; Magnoliopsida; Solanales; Solanaceae.
UAGGAUUAGUGGUGAUAGGGCUUAUGUGGUGUCUCGGAAACUGGGAUUUCAUGGUAUCUGUAGAGCGGAUCCCAUGGGCUUCUCGGGUGGAGGUUGGUUGAAGAUGAUGUGAUGCAAGUGAACGUUUACGAAAAAGCUGUCGUAAAGUUUCGUUCUUCGUUCCGUCGUCGAUCAAUCUAUCACUCAAUCACAGGCCGCUCUGUCAUUGUCUGAUUUUUG